GGGUUGUGAGGUUAAGCGACCAAGCGUACACGGUGGAUGCCCUGGCAGUCAGAGGCGAUGAAGGACGUGCUAAUCUGCGAAAAGCGCCGGUAAGGUGAUAUGAACCGUUAUAACCGGCGAUGUCCGAAUGGGGAAACCCAGUGUGACUCGUCACACUAUCAUUAACUGAAUCCAUAGGUUAAUGAGGCGAACCGGGGGAACUGAAACAUCUAAGUACCCCGAGGAAAAGAAAUCAACCGAGAUUCCCCCAGUAGCGGCGAGCGAACGGGGAGGAGCCCAGAGCCUGAAUCAGCAUGUGUGUUAGUGGAAGCGUCUGGAAAGGCGCGCGAUACAGGGUGAGAGCCCCGUACACAAAAGCGCACAUGCUGUGAGCUCGAUGAGUAGGGCGGGACACGUGGUAUCCUGUCUGAAUAUGGGGGGACCAUCCUCCAAGGCUAAAUACUCCUGACUGACCGAUAGUGAACCAGUACCGUGAGGGAAAGGCGAAAAGAACCCCGGCGAGGGGAGUGAAACAGAACCUGAAACCGUGUACGUACAAGCAGUGGGAGCCUCUCUUUAUGGGGGGUGACUGCGUACCUUUUGUAUAAUGGGUCAGCGACUUAUAUUCUGUAGCAAGGUUAACCGCAUAGGGGAGCCGAAGGGAAACCGAGUCUUAAUUGGGCGUUAAGUUGCAGGGUAUAGACCCGAAACCCGGUGAUCUAGCCAUGGGCAGGUUGAAGGUUGGGUAACACUAACUGGAGGACCGAACCGACUAAUGUUGAAAAAUUAGCGGAUGACCUGUGGCUGGGGGUGAAAGGCCAAUCAAACCGGGAGAUAGCUGGUUCUCCCCGAAAGCUAUUUAGGUAGCGCCUCGUGAACUCAUCUCCGGGGGUAGAGCACUGUUUCGGCUAGGGGGCCAUCCCGGCUUACCAACCCGAUGCAAACUGCGAAUACCGGAGAAUGUUAUCACGGGAGACACACGGCGGGUGCUAACGUCCGUCGUGAAGAGGGAAACAACCCAGACCGCCAGCUAAGGUCCCAAAGUCAUGGUUAAGUGGGAAACGAUGUGGGAAGGCCCAGACAGCCAGGAUGUUGGCUUAGAAGCAGCCAUCAUUUAAAGAAAGCGUAAUAGCUCACUGGUCGAGUCGGCCUGCGCGGAAGAUGUAACGGGGCUAAACCAUGCACCGAAGCUGCGGCAGCGACACUUUAGUGUUGUUGGGUAGGGGAGCGUUCUGUAAGCCGUUGAAGGUGUGUCGUGAGGCAUGCUGGAGGUAUCAGAAGUGCGAAUGCUGACAUAAGUAACGAUAAAGCGGGUGAAAAGCCCGCUCGCCGGAAGACCAAGGGUUCCUGUCCAACGUUAAUCGGGGCAGGGUGAGUCGACCCCUAAGGCGAGGCCGAAAGGCGUAGUCGAUGGGAAACGGGUUAAUAUUCCCGUACUUGGUGUUACUGCGAAGGGGGGACGGAGAAGGCUAUGUUGGCCGGGCGACGGUUGUCCCGGUUUAAGCGUGUAGGUGUGUGUUCCAGGUAAAUCCGGUUCACUUUAACACUGAGGCGUGAUGACGAGGCACCACGGUGCUGAAGCAACAAAUGCCCUGCUUCCAGGAAAAGCCUCUAAGCAUCAGGUAACAUCAAAUCGUACCCCAAACCGACACAGGUGGUCAGGUAGAGAAUACCAAGGCGCUUGAGAGAACUCGGGUGAAGGAACUAGGCAAAAUGGUGCCGUAACUUCGGGAGAAGGCACGCUGACACGUAGGUGAAGUGAUUUACUCAUGGAGCUGAAGUCAGUCGAAGAUACCAGCUGGCUGCAACUGUUUAUUAAAAACACAGCACUGUGCAAACACGAAAGUGGACGUAUACGGUGUGACGCCUGCCCGGUGCCGGAAGGUUAAUUGAUGGGGUCAGCGCAAGCGAAGCUCCUGAUCGAAGCCCCGGUAAACGGCGGCCGUAACUAUAACGGUCCUAAGGUAGCGAAAUUCCUUGUCGGGUAAGUUCCGACCUGCACGAAUGGCGUAAUGAUGGCCAGGCUGUCUCCACCCGAGACUCAGUGAAAUUGAACUCGCUGUGAAGAUGCAGUGUACCCGCGGCAAGACGGAAAGACCCCGUGAACCUUUACUAUAGCUUGACACUGAACAUUGAGCCUUGAUGUGUAGGAUAGGUGGGAGGCUUUGAAGCGUGGACGCCAGUCUGCGUGGAGCCGACCUUGAAAUACCACCCUUUAAUGUUUGAUGUUCUAACGUGGACCCGUGAUCCGGGUUGCGGACAGUGUCUGGUGGGUAGUUUGACUGGGGCGGUCUCCUCCUAAAGAGUAACGGAGGAGCACGAAGGUUGGCUAAUCCUGGUCGGACAUCAGGAGGUUAGUGCAAUGGCAUAAGCCAGCUUGACUGCGAGCGUGACGGCGCGAGCAGGUGCGAAAGCAGGUCAUAGUGAUCCGGUGGUUCUGAAUGGAAGGGCCAUCGCUCAACGGAUAAAAGGUACUCCGGGGAUAACAGGCUGAUACCGCCCAAGAGUUCAUAUCGACGGCGGUGUUUGGCACCUCGAUGUCGGCUCAUCACAUCCUGGGGCUGAAGUAGGUCCCAAGGGUAUGGCUGUUCGCCAUUUAAAGUGGUACGCGAGCUGGGUUUAGAACGUCGUGAGACAGUUCGGUCCCUAUCUGCCGUGGGCGCUGGAAGACUGAGGGGGGCUGCUCCUAGUACGAGAGGACCGGAGUGGACGCAUCACUGGUGUUCGGGUUGUCAUGCCAAUGGCACUGCCCGGUAGCUAAAUGCGGAAAAGAUAAGUGCUGAAAGCAUCUAAGCACGAAACUUGCCCCGAGAUGAGUCUUCCCUGAGACUUUGAGUCUCCUGAAGGAACGUUAAAGACGAUGACGUUGAUAGGCCGGGUGUGUAAGCGCAGCGAUGCGUUGAGCUAACCGGUACUAAUGAACCGUGAGGCUUAACCUUACAACGCCGAAGCUGUU
Molecule: ribosomal RNA, 2935 nt
Filed under: Salmonella enterica subsp. diarizonae serovar 47:k:z35
Lineage: Bacteria; Pseudomonadati; Pseudomonadota; Gammaproteobacteria; Enterobacterales; Enterobacteriaceae
Description: 23S ribosomal RNA
Rfam family: Bacterial large subunit ribosomal RNA
Source: RNAcentral